ACCCGACUUCAGAAUUUAAAAAUUAUACAAAUUUGACUCUCAUAUAAGUUAACCCCCAACUUUCAAGUAUUAGAACAACAUUACAUUCUUUGAAAUAAAUAGAUAAUUUCUCAAAUAAUUCAGCAACCAUUUUAAGCAGGCAUAAUAAAAUUUAUUAUUAAUAAAUACAAGUACUGUUGGAUUUAUGAUUGGAUUCAAACUAAACCUCCACCUUUAAGUCAGAGCAACUGAAAUGACCAAAAUUUAUGGAUUACGUACUACCAAUAUUUAUAUUACAUUCUGCUUUUAUCAUAAUAAACUUAACAUGAACAAAAAUACAAGAACCAGACACAAAAAGGAUACUUUCUGUAUAUUAAAUCAUUGCUCAUGGAUUCAAACUCAUGUGAAUUGUAUUGACCAAGCACAGAAUUUAUAUAUUAUAUCAUCAUUGAAGUAUGAGUUUUCUUAAGAACUUUACAACAUUUUUGGCUUCUCUGAGGAAGGCCCUAGAAAGACAAAAAUGUAUCUGGCUUAUUAUUAGUAAAUGCAUAUUUACUAAUAAUUUUAGUAUUUCUGUUUAUAGUGCUUGUUGAAUUAUUUGUGUUAUUUUAUGAGCAGCAAACUUGAAAAGUUUAAGAUUGGAGAUAAUUUCUUUUAUAAUUUAAAAAAUUUUCCAAAUCCAGUUCACUAUUAAAAUAAACAUGAUUGCAUUGACAAAAUUCCAGACUUUAUAGCAUUGAAACAUUGCAACACAACAUGAAGACAAAAAUGGGAUAGAGAGCAAGAUGCAAUCAUGGUACAUUCUGUAACAUAUCUCUGCAAAAUGAUUUUAUUGAAGUUCCUGUUUGAUAGAAAAUAUCAAAAGUUUCAGUCAUUUCUGAAUCUCAAUAAAAAUAAUUAUCAAAAUCUAAAUGAUAAAAAUCAGAACCAAAACAUUUAAUGGAAAUUUUAUUGUAAUUGACAAGAGUAGAAAACUGACCUGUGUGUACAUGAUUACCAGGAGGACAAAUCUGAUGUCCAAAAUUGACUGUAAAAUAAUUGUUUCUUAUUUUCUAAAUGAUCAGAACUAUCAGGAAAGGCACAAAUUGUUGAUUGGAAAUAUCAGGACAUAAAUUAUUAUACUUUCAUUUAACAUUAGCUGAUAAUACAUACAGUUACCAUGAUAUUUAUUUGCUAAAAAAGUCACUUUACAUAUAUCUUAUUUGUGAAGCAUCCAACAAAUUAAUAUAUUUAUAUGUAUUAAAUAUAAACAUUUACCUACAUUCACAUGUUUUUAAUAAUAGAAUUGAGAAAAAUGGAUAUUUUGUAGAAAGAAAUAUAAUGAAUCCU
This 1308-nucleotide long non-coding RNA is filed under the name Androctonus crassicauda. Lineage: Eukaryota; Metazoa; Arthropoda; Arachnida; Scorpiones; Buthidae. The record is from RNAcentral.